This 831-nucleotide long non-coding RNA is filed under the name Mustela putorius furo (domestic ferret). RNAcentral's name for it is "lncRNA (ENSMPUG00000031708.1)". The record is from RNAcentral. Lineage: Eukaryota; Metazoa; Chordata; Mammalia; Carnivora; Mustelidae.
ACUGCCAAUGUCUCCCUUUUCCGAAUUCCCACAGCUCUCACAGUUUACGCUGGACAGCCUAACCCUGGGUUUUUAUGCUGUCACCUGUUAUGUGUUUUUUGUUCUUAUCUCUCCUAAAGACUAGGAACCACACAACUGAUAACUGAGAAACUUCUCCCCCCCACCCCUUUUCUGAAAACACAAUCUCCUCUGGGGGUUGUUGGCCGCUCAUGGUUCUCCACAUGAUGGAGAGAUGUGAGUUGCUGUUGACCCGGUUUCCAGCCCUGGCUCUGUGACUGAUGGAUGGCACUGGACGAGUGAGGGCUGAAUCUCAUAGACCCCAGAUCCCUGUCGCUAAGAGGGAAUGACAGGACUGACUUGCUUCGCUGAGAGAAGUGUCAUAUGCAUUAACGGGCUAAUGAUGCUAAUGCUCUUUGAGAAUACAAAUGUGAAACAUUAUCAUUAUGGUUAAUGCUAGUCUUCAGUUUUUAAAUUUUUUUCCUCAAAGGGGAGACGCAGAAAGAUUAUUUAAAGAAAUAGUGAAUAGAAGGCUGCAGUUUGUGCUUAAUUCAUGACUGACUUUGAUCAGAACGGCAUAAGCCGUGGGAAUGCCGUCUUGCAGUCCGGAAGGUGCUGAAUACGUGUUCAUUGGCUCUGCUGAAUUAGAUAAAUCCUCAGGAACACACCCAUGUUCCCAAUGGAAAGACAAGUUACUCUGUCAACAGCAGCAAGUGACAGAAAAAUCUAAGAGUCAUUCCCUGGGAUCCUAAUAGAAGAUCCAGUAUAAUGGAGCAGGUAGGAGUGAAGGCUCUGGAACUCUGCGAUCUUGGAUAAGUUAACCUUCUGGGGCCU